UGGGGAAUUUUGGACAAUGGGCGAAAGCCUGAUCCAGCAAUGCCGCGUGUGUGAAGAAGGCCUUCGGGUUGUAAAGCACUUUUGUCCGGAAAGAAAUCCUUGGCUCUAAUACAGUCGGGGGAUGACGGUACCGGAAGAAUAAGCACCGGCUAACUACGUGCCAGCAGCCGCGGUAAUACGUAGGGUGCAAGCGUUAAUCGGAAUUACUGGGCGUAAAGCGUGCGCAGGCGGUUUGCUAAGACCGAUGUGAAAUCCCCGGGCUCAACCUGGGAACUGCAUUGGUGACUGGCAGGCUAGAGUAUGGCAGAGGGGGGUAGAAUUCCACGUGUAGCAGUGAAAUGCGUAGAGAUGUGGAGGAAUACCGAUGGCGAAGGCAGCCCCCUGGGCCAAUACUGACGCUCAUGCACGAAAGCGUGGGGAGCAAACAGGAUUAGAUACCCUGGUAGUCCACGCCCUAAACGAUGUCAACUAGUUGUUGGGGAUUCAUUUCCUUAGUAACGUAGCUAACGCGUGAAGUUGACCGCCUGGGAAGUACGAUCGCAAGAUUAAAACUUAAAUGAAAUUGACGGGGUCAUAGCUGUUUCCU
This 586-nucleotide ribosomal RNA is filed under the name uncultured bacterium. RNAcentral describes it as "partial 16S ribosomal RNA". It matches the Rfam family "Bacterial small subunit ribosomal RNA", at positions 355 to 1375 of the family's 1533-position model. The record is from RNAcentral.